GUGGCCCGGGUAGCUCCUGGCGGAGGUCGUACGGAGCCGCGCGCAGCCGGGGGGGCCGGGCUGCCUCGGCCGGGCUGGGGGGGGUGGUCCCGCUCUUCGGUGCCCCAGGGGCGCGGUAGCGGCGCCGUGCCGUGCCGGCUGGGCCUCCUCGAUAAGGGUGGCUGGGUGGGCCGCGCCGGCGCCGGGGGAGAGGCCUAGCCCGCGGGGCCCAGCUGAGGCAGGGCUGGCGCCAUCCCGGGGAAGGGGGCGCCGCAUAGGCCGCAGGCGGCCCCCGUGGCGGUGCCGCACAGUGAGGGACAGGAAGCCUCGCAGGCAGCCAGGCGGUGGGACAGCCAGCAGCAGCAAGGCCCCACCGCGGAGCUACUGCCCGCAGCUGGUGUAAAUCCUUGUAUUUACUGAAAGCACAUCCCUCGUAUCAGUUAUUCCUAAUACGGCGUCUCUUCCUCUUUGAAGUGUGACAUCGUAUUUCGUAUGUAUUCGGCUAAAUAAAUCAGAAAUUGCCCAGAGAUAAGGAACAGGAGCUAGGUGCGUGUUUCCCCGCUCACCACCACAAGAAUACAUUCAAAUGUCAUGAGUCACGUUUGGUUGGUCCUCAACACAAGAAAAAUAUCCAUUUCCAUUGGCUUACAAAUAGAGAAAGAAAUGACACACCCUUAAAAAGGCAAAGAUUGAACAAUAUUGUAAAAGGUGAGGACUCCAUCACUGUCUUCUCCCUGCACACUGGAGCCAGAAUGAAGAAAAGAAUGGGGAAACCCAUAGUCUGGCAUAUAACUUGACAUUCUAUGAAUUGCUGUGUACUCAUUUGUUGCUUAACCAUUUCAUGAGAGAAAUUAUCAUAGUGGAAAAAUAAUAUUCUGACUAGGUAACAGUGUAAGGUGGCUGAAAUGGUUGAAGGAUUGACUGGUGAGUUCAAGAUAUAUGCAUGACGGUACUUCUGCUGCAGCAGAAAAGAGGAAUGGUGACUGAGAUCUAUUACAUAAAAUUUUCUCAUUUCCUCUACUGAAUAAUGAACUUACCCUGUAUAAUAGUUUCUUCAUAACAUGAACAUAAUGUGUACUUCACAGUAUUCUUAACCAUGUACAAUUUAUUACUGUUUGUAGAGAUCUUUGAACUUCUUUGGUGAAAAGUAUAAGGUUUGUAUAAAACAUUAUUUUGUACUUAUGAAUAUUAAUGAUGUCACUUUUCAAACAACUGCUUAAGUUCUAUUUAAAAUUAAAAUACAUAAAACUUCA
Long non-coding RNA from Falco peregrinus (peregrine falcon), 1232 nucleotides. RefSeq lists it as uncharacterized. The transcript has 3 exons. Lineage: Eukaryota; Metazoa; Chordata; Aves; Falconiformes; Falconidae. The record is from RefSeq and is a predicted model, not a curated record.